RNAcentral lists this ribosomal RNA (116 nucleotides) under Candidatus Nitrososphaera gargensis Ga9.2. Lineage: Archaea; Thermoproteati; Nitrososphaerota; Nitrososphaeria; Nitrososphaerales; Nitrososphaeraceae. The record is from RNAcentral.
GACAGCAUUAUCAUGUACAUGGCAGGUUUCCACUGGAACUAAAUUGCACCGUUUUUUCUACACACAUACAUACUCCAAUGGAAACGCGGUGCAUAGCAAGGUUAAAUUAGCCCUUU